Molecule: long non-coding RNA, 1110 nt
Organism: Zea mays
Lineage: Eukaryota; Viridiplantae; Streptophyta; Magnoliopsida; Poales; Poaceae
Exons: 2
Source: RefSeq, a predicted model, not a curated record
UCCACACGACCGAGGCCCAAGUCGAGCCCAAGAAGCAACCUUUCCUUUCUCUGAAAAGAGAGAGCGCGCCCGCCGCCGCCGGGUUUGUUUGGUGCUCGACUGCUCGGCCUCCGUCUCCGUCUCCGGGUUUGUUUAGGCGGUUCGACCUCACUUGUUCUUGCGAGUCGGUUUCCAGAAUUCCAGGGAGUUGGGAGGAGAGACGCUCUCCUCGUCGAUCAGGGAGGAGUGGUCAUGGGGUCGUGGAGAACCCUCGCACGAUUUAACGAGGACAACCUCAUACCAUGCGUUGGAUUUGGCGACAGUCAGUUCUUAACCUGCCUACCCGGCCUCUGACUGUCUGGCUACUACGGUUUUUCUUUUGGAUUUUCCAGGUCACGCGCAGCCUCCAAAGAGGCAGUGGCAUCCUCUUCUGAGCCCACAGGAAAGGGAGACCGUAGAUGCAAUGGAUGCCAAAUAUUCCAGUGAUUAAAGACUGCUCUUGACUUGCCAUGAACCGAGUGUUUUGGUCAUGCAUACUGAGGUCUUCUGUGUGUCUGAAGUCUGAACACUGAAUCCAUCGAUUCUGCAGCGACUACCCACUUUCAAUUGUGCUUGUUGGGGUUUGUGGAUGCAGCACUGCCGGAGGGUAGCUUUUAAAAGCAUACUAACGAAUCCGAAUGCCAACUGAAGGAUGCUUUGCAGGUUUGAGCCUUCCAGUGGUUGCGAGUUUGUGGCACAUUUGGUUACUCCAGUGAGUCUCACCCUUGGGCCAACCUGCACGAGGAAAGCAUGUCUCAAACAUGAAAUACAGGCUAACAAUAACCCAAGCUUUACGAUUUGUCCAGACCUCCAAUCAAUUGCCGGCAACGCUGCCCCACGCUGAGCUCCAGCUGCUCGUCUUCUUUGCAUUGCUGGACUUGGUAGUGGUAGCGCGCUGCAGAAAUGGGCACUCCUGCCCACCUCCAAUCACCAAGAACCAUCUGUUAAGGUAGAAGAUGUAGGCGUGGAAGAGAAGUAAGAGCAGAGUGGCUGUUGGAAGCGACGCCAGGAAGACGGCGACAGACUGUAUUGAUUUCCAAAUUCUUGUUAUCGGAUUAUUACAGACUCCACGUAUUUAUACUUCUGCCAGGA